Molecule: ribosomal RNA, 507 nt
Filed under: uncultured bacterium
Lineage: Bacteria
Description: bacterial SSU rRNA
Rfam family: Bacterial small subunit ribosomal RNA
Source: RNAcentral
UUAUGGCUCAGGAUGAACGCUAGCGGCAGGCUUAACACAUGCAAGGUCGAGGGGCAUCGGGAGUAGCAAUACUUGCCGGCGACCGGCGCAAGGGUGCGUAACGCGUGAGCAACAUGCCCGUAUCAGGGGGAUAAUCCAUGGAAACGUGGUCUAAUACCCCAUAGUAAUUAUGUAAGGCAUCUUAUAUAAUUUAAAGCUUUGGUGGAUACGGAUUGGCUCGCGUGACAUUAGCUAGAUGGUAAGGUAACGGCUUACCAUGGCUACGAUGUCUAGGGGUUCUGAGAGGAAGGUCCCCCACACUGGAACUGAGACACGGUCCAGACUCCUACGGGAGGCAGCAGUGAGGAAUAUUGGACAAUGGAUGGAAAUCUGAUCCAGCCAUGCCGCGUGCAGGAAGACGGCCCUAUGGGUUGUAAACUGCUUUUGUAUGGGAGCAAUAAGGGCUACGCGUAGUCCGAUGAGAGUACCACACGAAUAAGCACCGGCUAACUCCGUGCCAGCCGCCGC